GACGAACGCUGGCGGCGUGCUUAACACAUGCAAGUCGAACGGAAAGGCCCUGCUUUUGUGGGGUGCUCGAGUGGCGAACGGGUGAGUAACACGUGAGUAACCUGCCCUUGACUUUGGGAUAACUUCAGGAAACUGGGGCUAAUACCGGAUAGGAGCUCCUGCUGCAUGGUGGGGGUUGGAAAGUUUCGGCGGUUGGGGAUGGACUCGCGGCUUAUCAGCUUGUUGGUGGGGUAGUGGCUUACCAAGGCUUUGACGGGUAGCCGGCCUGAGAGGGUGACCGGGCACAUUGGGACUGAGAUACGGCCCAGACUCCUACGGGAGACAGCAGUGGGGAAUAUUGCACAAUGGGCGGAAGCCUGAUGCAGCAACGCCGCGUGCGGGAUGACGGCCUUCGGGGUGUAAACCGCUUUCGCCUGUGACGAAGCGUGAGUGACGGUAAUGGGUAAAGAAGCACCGGCUAACUACGUG
Molecule: ribosomal RNA, 468 nt
Filed under: uncultured bacterium
Lineage: Bacteria
Description: partial 16S ribosomal RNA
Rfam family: Bacterial small subunit ribosomal RNA
Source: RNAcentral